This 68-nucleotide transfer RNA is filed under the name Lamprotula caveata. RNAcentral's name for it is "tRNA-Phe". It matches the Rfam family "tRNA". From Rfam's summary of the family: Transfer RNA (tRNA) molecules are approximately 80 nucleotides in length. Their secondary structure includes four short double-helical elements and three loops (D, anti-codon, and T loops). Further hydrogen bonds mediate the characteristic L-shaped molecular structure. tRNAs have two regions of fundamental functional importance: the anti-codon, which is responsible for specific mRNA codon recognition, and the 3' end, to which the tRNAs corresponding amino acid is attached (by aminoacyl-tRNA synthetases). tRNAs cope with the degeneracy of the genetic code in two manners: having more than one tRNA (with a specific anti-codon) for a particular amino acid; and 'wobble' base-pairing, i.e. permitting non-standard base-pairing at the 3rd anti-codon position. Lineage: Eukaryota; Metazoa; Mollusca; Bivalvia; Unionida; Unionidae. The record is from RNAcentral.
CAAGGACAGAUAGUUUAACCUUAAAACAUAACACUGAAAAUGUUAAACUGGCGCCUGCCUCUCUCCAU